UACGUAGGGGGCAAGCGUUGUCCGGAUUUAUUGGGCGUAAAGAGCGUGUAGGCGGCUAGGUAGGUCCGUUGUGAAAACUCGAGGCUCAACCUCGAGACGUCGAUGGAAACCAUCUAGCUAGAGUCCGGAAGAGGAGAGUGGAAUUCCUGGUGUAGCGGUGAAAUGCGCAGAUAUCAGGAGGAACACCGGUGGCGAAGGCGGUUCUCUGGGCAUUACCUGACGCUGAGGAGCGAAAGCGUGGGGAGCAAACAGG
Molecule: ribosomal RNA, 253 nt
Filed under: uncultured bacterium
Lineage: Bacteria
Description: partial 16S ribosomal RNA
Rfam family: Bacterial small subunit ribosomal RNA
Source: RNAcentral